AACGAACGCUGGCGGCAGGCCUAACACAUGCAAGUCGAACGCUGUAGCAAUACAGAGUGGCAGACGGGUGAGUAUCGCGUGGAAACCUUCCCAAUGGUGCGGAAUAGCCCAGGGAAACUUGGGGUAAUACCGCAUAAGCCCUUAGGGGGAAAGAUUUAUCGCCAUUGGAUGGGCCCGCGUCGGAUUAGCUAGUUGGUGAGGUAAUGGCUCACCAAGGCAACGAUCCGUAGCUGGUUUGAGAGAAUGACCAGCCACACUGGGACUGAGACACGGCCCAGACUCCUACGGGAGGCAGCAGUGGGGAAUCUUGGACAAUGGGCGCAAGCCUGAUCCAGCCAUGCCGCGUGAGUGACGAAGGCCUUAGGGUUGUAAAGCUCUUUUGCCGGGGACGAUAAUGACGGUACCCGGAGAAUAAGUCCCGGCUAACUUCGUGCCAGCCGCCGCCGUAA
This 449-nucleotide ribosomal RNA is filed under the name uncultured bacterium. RNAcentral describes it as "partial 16S ribosomal RNA". It matches the Rfam family "Bacterial small subunit ribosomal RNA", at positions 29 to 523 of the family's 1533-position model. The record is from RNAcentral.